AGAGCGCAAGGGGAAUGCCUUGGCAUCAGGAGCCGAUGAAGGACGUGACAAGCUGCGAUAAGCUUCGGGGAGGUGCAAAUGACCGUUGAUCCGGAGAUUUCCGAAUGGGGAAACCCGGCAGAGCAAUACUCUGUCAACCUGCGUUGAAUCAAAUAGGCGUAGGUGGGGAACCGCCUGAACUGAAACAUCUAAGUAGGGCGAGGAAGAGAAAUCAACCGAGAUUCCGUAAGUAGUGGCGAGCGAACGCGGAAGAGGCCAAACCGAGAGAAGAAAUUCUUUCGGGGUUCGGACUGCAUUUAGUAUUCCUGAUCUUUAGUCGAACAGUUUGGGAAGGCUGACGAGAGAGUGUGAGAGUCACGUAGACGAAAAGGAGAAGGAGCGAGCAGGAUCCAGAGUACCGCGGGGCACGUGAAAUCCCGUGGGAAGAUGGGGGGACCACCCUCCAAGCCUAAAUACUACUCAAUGACCGAUAGCGUAUAGUACUGUGAAGGAACGGUGAAAAGAACCCCGGGAGGGGAGUGAAAAGAACCUGAAACUCUGUGCUUACAAGCACAUAGAGCACGUCAAUGUGUGAUAUGGUACCUUUUGUAGAAUGGUCCGGCGAGUUAUGGUAUGCAGCAUGGUUAAGGACUUGAGGUCUGAAGCCGAAGCGAGAGCGAGUCUGACAAGGGCGAUAAGUUGUAUGCCAUAGACCCGAAACCGGGUGACCUAGCCAUGUCCAGGCUGAAGUGGAGGUAAAACUCCAUGGAGGGCCGAACCGACCUCCGUUGAAAAGGCGGCGGAUGAGAUGUGGCUAGCGGAGAAAUUCCAAUCGAACCCGGAUAUAGCUGGUUCUCCCCGAAAUAGCUUUAGGGCUAGCGUUGUAUUAGAUUACCGGAGGUAAAGCACUGAAUGGGCUAGGGGCUGAGAAGUUACUGAACCCUAUCAAACUAAGAAUGCCGGAUAAUUGAUGUACAGCAGUCAGACUAUGUGAGAUAAGUCUCAUAGUCAAAAGGGAAACAGCCCAGACCCACAGCUAAGGUCCCAAAAUGGAUUUAAGUGGAAAAGGAUGUGGAAUUGCACAGACAACCAGGAUGUUGGCUUAGAAGCAGCCACACAUUCAAAGAGUGCGUAAUAGCUCACUGGUCGAGUGAUUGUGCGCCGAAGAUGUCCGGGGCUAAAACACACCACCGAAGCUUCGGGUUCGCUGUCAUUUACAGCGCGGACAGGGGGGAAAAGGAAAGAACCUUGUACGUGGUGUAAAUGACAGCGAGCGGUAGAGGAGCAUCGUGCACUGGCAGAAGCGGAAUCGGAAGAGACCGUGGACGGUGCAGGAGAGAGAAUGCCGGUAUGAGUAACGAGAUGCAAGCGAGAAACUUGCACGUCGAAAGCCCAAGGUUUCCUGGGGAAGGUUCAUCCACCCAGGGUAAGUCGGGACCUAAGCCGAGGACAAAAGUCGUAGGCGAUGGACAACUGGUUGAAAUUCCAGUACCACCUGUAAGAGUGAAGCACUGACACAGAAGGAUAGCAUGAGCCGGUUGAUGGUAGAACCGGUCCAAGCGAACGAGGCUGGUGCGUAGUGAAGUACGCGCACCGAGGAAGCUGAGUCGUGAUGGGGAGCGAAAUACGAGUAGCGGAAGCAUGUGAAUUCAGGCUGGCAAGAAAAGGUGCUAACAAUGUUGCAGGUGCCCGUACCGCAAACCGACGCAGGUGGGCGAGGAGAGAAUCCUAAGACGAACGGGAGAACCCUUGUUAAGGAACUCGGCAAAAUGACCCCGUAACUUCGGGAGAAGGGGUGCCUCGAGAGAGGCCGCAGAGAAUAGGCCCAAGCGACUGUUUACCAAAAACACAGGUCUGUGCGAAGUAGAGAUACGACGUAUACGGGCUGACGCCUGCCCAGUGCUGGAAGGUUAAGGGGAAAUGUCAGGGCAACCGAAGCAUGGAACUUAAGCCCCAGUGAACGGCGGCCGUAACUAUAACGGUCCUAAGGUAGCGAAAUUCCUUGUCGGGUAAGUUCCGACCCGCACGAAUGGCGUAACGACUUGGGCACUGUCUCAACAAGGGACCCGGCGAAAUUGUAGUAUGUGUGAAGAUGCACAUUACCCGCGAUAGGACGGAAAGACCCCGUAGAGCUUUACUGUAGCCUGGUAUUGGAUUUUGGUAACGUAUGUACAGAAUAGGUGGGAGACGGAGAAGCGAGGACGCCAGUUCUCGUGGAGUCGCCUUUGGGAUACCACUCUUAUGUUACCGGGGUUCUAACGAGCGGCCGUGAACCGGCGUUCAGACAGUGCCAGGUGGGCAGUUUGACUGGGGCGGUCGCCUCCGAAAGAGUAACGGAGGCGUCCAAAGGUUCCCUCAGAAUGGUUGGAAACCAUUCAUAGAGUGCAAAGGCAGAAGGGAGCCUGACUGCGAGACCGACAGGUCGAGCAGGUACGAAAGUAGGGCUUAGUGAUCCGGCGGUAUGAGAGUGGAAUUGCCGUCGCUCAACGGAUAAAAGCUACCUCGGGGAUAACAGGCUUAUCUCCCCCAAGAGUCCACAUCGACGGGGAGGUUUGGCA
Molecule: ribosomal RNA, 2537 nt
Filed under: human gut metagenome
Description: bacterial LSU rRNA
Rfam family: Bacterial large subunit ribosomal RNA
Source: RNAcentral